UAGCCUAAAUUGGGAAUGAAAGGUAGAGAGAGAACUAAGAGGCGAAACUGUUCUUCUUCCAAAACACUUUAGAAAUUCAGGAAAAUGGAAAACGAUCAGAGACUUCCGGCCAAUAUGAUUUCCCAGACUUAUUUAAUAGUUUUGAAAUCGGAUAAUUUCAGUACGUGGAAGUAAUGGAACAUUUAGAAAAGUAUAACCACUGGGAGUUGCAAGGUGAUAGAAAGGGAGUCUGCCGAAAGACAAUAUAUGAUAAAGACUGAAAUUGGUGGAUAAUAGCUACGACAAAGGUAGUAAAAGGGAUAGGUUGGUGUAUUUCCUGUUAGAGACGCUGCAAAAGGGAUUGAUUGGUUUCGAUUGGUUCAGUAUUAUCUCAAGGUAUUAUUCUGUUUUUCAUUUGAUGUUCACCAACCUCAAUAACUUUACAACUAAAAUGUUUGAUAUCGUGACUGAAUGAAAACAAAUAUAUGAUUAAAGGUGUUGCAACUGUUUUUUGAAAAGAAGCACCAACCUCUUUUGGCAACUUCAGAUACUCAUAAGCUAGACGGGAAGAAUCAACCUGAAUACAAUGACAUACUAGGAAUGAUCAUAACUAGAUUCAUAUGUGGUUUAUAGCUCUUUUUAUGAUAUUUGUCUUUUGUUUGAAAUGUGAUGAUAAUUGAGAUGAUCCAUCACUGGAUGUUAAGUCAAUCACGAAGUGUCUUACAAUUGUAUUUUUAAAGGUAUGGCAUGAGAGAUCUUAGUUUUUUAGUGUUGGCCUUGAAUUUGUGUGUUUGCGACGCAUCAUAACAUUUGCCUAUUUUGUCAACAACAACAAAAAAGAUGGCAUUAGUGUAAUGAGGGUGUUUUAUUAUUGGAACUUAUUCGUGGAUUUGGCCCAUUUGGGUUUUCGCUUAUUGGCAUGACAGUUUUGAUAACUGAAACUUGCAUCAGUUGAGAGUGUUUGCAUUUGCGACCGAUGCUGGCGACGCUUGACGCACAACCGUGAGAUCUGAAAGAAUUAAUUUUUGGUAUUAAUUAGAUCCCCUUUACAUUAUGCAUACUAAGAUGCCAGAUUUUACAAAAAAUCUUUAGUUCUGGAAUUUUAAUCCAUGUCCUUUUCUAACAAUUUAGCCUUAAUCCUCACAAGUUAUGUAGUCUCAAGGUGUUAUCUUCUUGUUGCAGCCAUAUGGAUUUGUUGAUGGUAAAUCCGAGAGGAAACUUACUUGAAAGGGUUAGAUAGCGGUAUCGAAGGCAUGCGAGUGGCAGACUAGGCUAGAUAUGUCAAAAAUCAAUUCUAUUGGUCUAUUUUAUGAAUUCUCAUACAGAGAGAAAACAACUUUGCUGGAUAAGUAUACCGUUUUACCAUUAUGUGAGUGGCAGACCAUGUUUGGCUAACUUAGGUUAUAUAAAAAGUGGUUUAAAUGAUUUGUUUUUGUAGAAGAUAAAUCUAUGGCUGUGGUUGACUCCUUGAAACACAUUUUACACCCGUAUUUUUCCUGACUAGCAUUAUAAUUUCUUAGACCCUUCAUUUCGAUGAUCAAGAUGAAUGUGUUUCCUUUAAUUGAGUCUUUGGGUGUUCUUCCCUGCUAAACAGAUCUCUCACUUCCCCUAGGAAUUUCUAGAUUACAUUUCUUCCAUUUCAAUUUUCUCUCGAUAUCUCUUUGGCAUAUUACUAUCCGAGUUCCUUCAAAUCAGAGACAACAUUUGUUUGAUUCCUUUAAGUCAUUCCACUUUUGUGAUUUCAUUUAGGUUUUUUUUAGUAUAAGGUGGUGGUUCUAAUUAUUUUAGUUAGGGAAGCAAGUGUCACUUAUGAAGGAAUCAAAUUCAGCCUUUUCUGUUUCUCUGGAUUCGUCAUAGACCCAAAAUAUGUGUAAGUAAUCCUUCUUUAUCUUCUUUCUCUCUUUACUGAUCUUUAUUACGAUAGAUUUUAAAAUUAUAAGACUGAUAUUUGGGUUAGAUUUUUGGAGAAUUCAUAGUGUCUGUAACCUUACUUGAGUGGAUUGAAUUAUAUUGCUCAUAACUAAUUCACUGACUGUUUCAAAGGAUAAUCUUGGUCAUCCAAGAAUCUAGCUUCUUUGUCAUGGAACUUUUUUUUUCUCUUCUUGAGUGUAUGUCGUACUAUGUAUAGAGUUAUACACAUUAACUUUGUUUGGGAAGCAUUGAGUACUCUUAUUUAUGUGCAUCGGGUUUUUUCGUCCAACUACACAGUUGGCAGCUUGAUUUAUAUGGACUCAUCCUAUUACCUAAUUUUGUUUUCUUUGUUAUGGAGCUCAUGCAUAUAACCAAAGAAUGAUAGCUGCUGAUAUGCUUUUGGAUUAAUACCAUUUUUCUUAAGGAAACCUAUCACCGGUUUAUGACAGCAGUGGCAGGAACUUUAAAAUGAAAUUAUUUUUUUGUUGGUGGAACAUUGAAAUGAAUUGAUUUUAUGUAAUCGUGUACUUAGUUAUUGAAGGCGGGCAUAAAAAUCACUGCUUCAGAGAUGAAUGCAAGAACUUAAAGGAAUUGUAAAUCAUGUCGGUGGAAGUGUGAAGCGUAUGUCGUUUCAUGUAGCCAUUGGUGAGGUACUGCUAUAUGUUUGCAUCGAAUCUUCCGGUUUCCCAUAUAUUUGGCUCCCAUGGAAUAGGACCAUCUGUAUAGACGUCGCAGGCUUGUAGCACAAAGAAAGAAAGUCUAACAAAAGAAAGGACAUGUGCUUCAUGUUGGAACAAUCUACGGUUUACCAUACAUAGAGAGAGAUAGGAAUGCAAUCACUUAAGGCCCUUUUGAAGUUCAACUGUAUGAAGUAGUUCUUGGUUACAUUGUAGUUUAUACAUGCCUGACAACAUUCUGGUUAAUUAACUGUGUACCAUUGAUCUAAUACAAGCGUUUUAUUGAAUUACGAAGAUCUAAUUUUUCUACUUA
This is a long non-coding RNA of Papaver somniferum (opium poppy), 2880 nucleotides long. RefSeq lists it as uncharacterized. The record is from RefSeq and is a predicted model, not a curated record. The transcript is spliced from 4 exons. NCBI's taxonomy places the organism in Eukaryota, Viridiplantae, Streptophyta, Magnoliopsida, Ranunculales, Papaveraceae.